RNAcentral lists this ribosomal RNA (269 nucleotides) under uncultured bacterium. RNAcentral's name for it is "partial 16S ribosomal RNA". It matches the Rfam family "Bacterial small subunit ribosomal RNA", at positions 793 to 1055 of the family's 1533-position model. The record is from RNAcentral.
GUCCUAGCCGUAAACGGUGCGCGUUUGCCGUAAGAGGAAUCGACCCCUCUUGUGGCGAAGCUAACGCGAUAAACGCGCCGCCUGGGAAGUACGGUCGCAAGAUUAAAACUCAAAGAAAUUGACGGGGGCCUGCACAAGCGGUGGAGUAUGUGGCUCAAUUCGAUGCAACGCGAAGAACCUUACCUGGCCUUGACAUGUGCGUAGUAGAAGGGUGAAAGCCUGACGAGUGUAGCAAUACACAGCGUACACAGGUGCUGCAUGGCUGUCGU